UGAACGCUGGCGGCAUGCCUAACACAUGCAAGUCGAACGAGAUUUUCGGAUCUAGUGGCGCACGGGUGAGUAACGCGUGGGAACCUACCUUUUAGUACGGGACAACGUUUGGAAACGAACGCUAAUACCGUAUACUCCCUCCGGGGGAAAGGUCAGCCGCUGAAAGAGGGGCCCGCGUCUGAUUAGCUUGUUGGUAAGGUAAUGGCUUACCAAGGCUACGAUCAGUAGCUGGUCUGAGAGGAUGAUCAGCCACACUGGGACUGAGACACGGCCCAGACUCCUACGGGAGGCAGCAGUGGGGAAUAUUGGACAAUGGAGGCAACUCUGAUCCAGCAAUGCCGCGUGUGUGAAGAAGGCCCUAGGGUUGUAAAGCACUUUCAACGGUGAAGAUGAUGACGGUAGCCGUAGAAGAAGCCCCGGCUAACUUC
RNAcentral lists this ribosomal RNA (428 nucleotides) under uncultured Pseudomonadota bacterium. RNAcentral's name for it is "bacterial SSU rRNA". It matches the Rfam family "Bacterial small subunit ribosomal RNA", at positions 30 to 504 of the family's 1533-position model. Lineage: Bacteria; Pseudomonadati; Pseudomonadota. The record is from RNAcentral.